This 881-nucleotide long non-coding RNA is filed under the name Marmota monax (woodchuck). Lineage: Eukaryota; Metazoa; Chordata; Mammalia; Rodentia; Sciuridae. The record is from RNAcentral.
GCCCAAUGGGCCGCUGAGCCCUAGAGAGCUGGACCGGGCAGGCCUGGCAUGCAGAGGGAGCACCGCAGCUGACCAGUGACUGCCCGGGAGGUCCUGGCUUCCCUGAGCGCCAACUGCAUCAUCCAUGGCAGGUCAUGAGCCUAGCCCUGUGUGUCAUCGUGAAAGUGCUCUCAAGGCCAGCACAUGGGGUCUCACAGGGCCCCUGUCCCCUGGGUCCCGGCCUUAGGGUGCAUAUUUCCACUCACAGUCUCACCUAAUCUCUCAUCUGCUGAAUCAGGGAGCCUGCAUUAUUAGCUCCAUUUUACAGAUAAGAAAAGUGAGGGACACUGAGGUUAUGUCGCUUGCCACACAGCUAGUCAUUGGAGAUGGCUACAACUGAGCCCAGAUCUGCUGACCCCAAGCUCUACGUCUUAGCUUAGAGGCAUUGGUCUCUCCAAGGGUGCAGAUGCGACUGAGAACCUGCCAGGGGUCUGUAUCUCCCUGAGACGGAGUCCCUCCUUUCACACCUCAUGGCUGGGGUCUGGUCCUGGGCAGAGGGCAAGGCAAGGCCAUUUCCAGUUUUGCGGCUUCUCUUAUGUUCAUGAAGAAAAAGAAGCACCAGAUCAAGUUUCUAUCACCGUGAUAUAUCUCGUAUAAAUAGCUUUAACAGAUAAACACUUUGAACACACACACAACUGUGCAAAUUUACUGUGCCAGGGCAAUUAGCAUAUUCAUCUUUAAAAAUCAGUUUAUAGGUCACUGAAGACAGCCUGGGCUGACGGCGGAACACAAGGUUCAAGGUGGAGAAUUGCCAGCCCCUGCCUCAGCCCUGCUCUGUGACGGCGUUUACAGGGAGGGUCAGAGGAGGACAUGUGAGGCUCUUGUCCUUGUGAAGGGAGAGG